This 723-nucleotide ribosomal RNA is filed under the name Triticum aestivum (bread wheat). RNAcentral describes it as "partial small subunit ribosomal RNA". The record is from RNAcentral. Lineage: Eukaryota; Viridiplantae; Streptophyta; Magnoliopsida; Poales; Poaceae.
AUGGAAACUAACCAGGAAAGCUACUCCUGGUAUCACGUCUGCACACGGAAGUAUUUAAGAGGUUCUUUUUGCCUCUCAAGCAACCCGCGGCGAACGUGCUUUUCGUCCAUGUCGUCUCGAUCCAUUGCCCGCCGCCGGCGGCGGCGCAGCAGCAGCAGAUCUCUGGUGGCGCGUGCCCCCCUGCCGGACAACGACGAUCUCCUCGAGGAGAUCCUUCUCCGUCUCCGGCCGUCCUCCCUGCCACGCGCCUCCGCAGUCUGCAAGCGGUGGCGGCGCCUCGCAGCCGACCCUAGGUUCCUCAACCGUUUCUGCGCGCACCACCGGAAGCCGCCGCUCCUUGGAUUCUUCGAGUGUCUCGAUAAGAUCGUGUUCACCCCUGCGCCUCCCUACCGCAUCCCUCCCGAGCGCUUCUCGCUUGAAAGCUGCAGGGGACACCGCAGCAAGGACGACGAGCUCGUUCGUGGCCAUGGCCGCGUCCUCGUCAAGGACCGGGUGCGGAAGGAGAUCAUCGUAUGGACCCCCAUGACCGGCAAGCAGCGAUGCUUGGCCGUUCCUCCAUUGUUCAAGAGGAGCUUCCUCAACGGGGCGGUGCUCUGCACCGACAAGGGCCACGUCCAUGGUGCUUGGUGUGCAAGUACCGAAAGGAAAAGAAGCUACUUGCCUUUGUUUACUCCUCGGAUACUGGUGUAUGGGGCGAUCUUAUUUCAAAUCUCAUAUCCGUGA